RNAcentral lists this ribosomal RNA (405 nucleotides) under Salmonella enterica subsp. enterica serovar Muenchen. RNAcentral's name for it is "bacterial SSU rRNA". It matches the Rfam family "Bacterial small subunit ribosomal RNA", at positions 1128 to 1532 of the family's 1533-position model. Lineage: Bacteria; Pseudomonadati; Pseudomonadota; Gammaproteobacteria; Enterobacterales; Enterobacteriaceae. The record is from RNAcentral.
AGGUCGGGAACUCAAAGGAGACUGCCAGUGAUAAACUGGAGGAAGGUGGGGAUGACGUCAAGUCAUCAUGGCCCUUACGACCAGGGCUACACACGUGCUACAAUGGCGCAUACAAAGAGAAGCGACCUCGCGAGAGCAAGCGGACCUCAUAAAGUGCGUCGUAGUCCGGAUUGGAGUCUGCAACUCGACUCCAUGAAGUCGGAAUCGCUAGUAAUCGUGGAUCAGAAUGCCACGGUGAAUACGUUCCCGGGCCUUGUACACACCGCCCGUCACACCAUGGGAGUGGGUUGCAAAAGAAGUAGGUAGCUUAACCUUCGGGAGGGCGCUUACCACUUUGUGAUUCAUGACUGGGGUGAAGUCGUAACAAGGUAACCGUAGGGGAACCUGCGGUUGGAUCACCUCCUU